UGGACUGGUCGAAAGACCAUGGUUCACCUGGUGGCGGGGAUAUACCCC
RNAcentral lists this non-coding RNA (48 nucleotides) under unclassified sequences. Its description in RNAcentral is "DUF3800-XI RNA". It matches the Rfam family "DUF3800-XI RNA". Rfam says of the family: Actinobacteria, Firmicutes, Proteobacteria, Spirochaetes (1 example). The record is from Rfam by way of RNAcentral.